AGCGAACGCUGGCGGCAGGCUUAACACAUGCAAGUCGAGCGCCCCGCAAGGGGAGCGGCAGACGGGAGAGUAACACGUGGGAACAUACCUUUUGGUUCGGAACAACUGAGGGAAACUUCAGCUAAUACCGGAUAAGCCCUUACGGGGAAAGAUUUAUCGCCGAACGAUUGGCCCGCGUCUGAUUAGCUAGUUGGUGAGGUAACGGCUCACCAAGGCGACGAUCAGUAGCUGGUCUGAGAGGAUGAUCAGCCUCACUGGGACUGAGACACGGCCCAGACUCCUACGGGAGGCAGCAGUGGGGAAUAUUGGACAAUGGGGGCAACCCUGAUCCAGCCAUGCCGCGUGAGUGAUGAAGGCCUUAGGGUUGUAAAGCUCUUUUGCCCGGGAAGAUAAUGACGGUACCGGGAGAAUAAGCCCCGGCUAACUUCGUG
RNAcentral lists this ribosomal RNA (431 nucleotides) under uncultured bacterium. RNAcentral's name for it is "partial 16S ribosomal RNA". It matches the Rfam family "Bacterial small subunit ribosomal RNA", at positions 29 to 507 of the family's 1533-position model. The record is from RNAcentral.